Molecule: ribosomal RNA, 514 nt
Filed under: Ryuthela nishihirai
Lineage: Eukaryota; Metazoa; Arthropoda; Arachnida; Araneae; Heptathelidae
Description: partial 16S ribosomal RNA
Rfam family: Bacterial large subunit ribosomal RNA
Source: RNAcentral
UUCCCAUGGCGCCUGUUUAUCAAAAACAUGGUUUUUUGUUGGUGAUAAAAAAUCUUACCUGCUCCCUGCUAUAAGUUAAUAGCCGCAGUAUUAUGACUGUGCUAAGGUAGCAUAAUCAUUUGUCUUUUAAAUGAGGUCUGGAAUGAAGGGUUUGAUCGAAGAAAGUCCUGUCUCUUUAUUAUUUGGUGAAGUAAAUUAGCUAGUAAAAAGGCUAGUAUAUACCUGAAAGACGAUAAGACCCUAUUAAGCUUAAUUUUUGAAAUUUUACUGGGGCGGUAGGAUAAGAUUACAAUCUUAUCCAUAAUGGUUGAUAUUUAUUGACCCAAUUUUAUUGAGGGUAAGAUAAAGUUACUAUAGGGAUAACAGCUUAAUUUUCCCUUGAAGAUCUUAUUUAUUGGAAAGUUUGAGACCUCGAUGUUGAAUUAAAGUACCUUAUAGGCGCAGUAGGCUAUAAAGGAAGUCUGUUCGACUUUUAAAUCUUUACGUGAUCUGAGUUCAGACCGGCCAUGGGAAG